Molecule: ribosomal RNA, 468 nt
Filed under: uncultured bacterium
Lineage: Bacteria
Description: partial 16S ribosomal RNA
Rfam family: Bacterial small subunit ribosomal RNA
Source: RNAcentral
GACGAACGCUGGCGGCGUGCUUAACACAUGCAAGUCGAACGGAAAGGCCCUGCUUUUGUGGGGUGCUCGAGUGGCGAACGGGUGAGUAACACGUGAGUAACCUGCCCUUGACUUUGGGAUAACUUCAGGAAACUGGGGCUAAUACCGGAUAGGAGCUCCUGCUGCAUGGUGGGGGUUGGAAAGUUUCGGCGGUUGGGGAUGGACUCGCGGCUUAUCAGCUUGUUGGUGGGGUAGUGGCUUACCAAGGCUUUGACGGGUAGCCGGCCUGAGAGGGUGACCGGCCACAUUGGGACUGAGAUACGGCCCAGACUGCUACGUGAGGCAGCAGUGGGGAAUAUUGCACAAUGGGCGGAAGCCUGAUGCAGCAACGCCGCGUGCGGGAUGACGUCCUUCGGGUUGUAAACCGCUUUCGCCUGUGACGAAGCGUGAGUGACGGUAAUGGGUAAAGAAGCACCGGCUAACUACGUG